Molecule: ribosomal RNA, 496 nt
Filed under: uncultured bacterium
Lineage: Bacteria
Description: partial 16S ribosomal RNA
Rfam family: Bacterial small subunit ribosomal RNA
Source: RNAcentral
GAUGAACGCUGGCGGCGUGCCUAAUACAUGCAAGUCGAGCGAACGGAUGAGAAGCUUGCUUCUCUGAUGUUAGCGGCGGACGGGUGAGUAACACGUGGAUAACCUACCUAUAAGACUGGGAUAACUUCGGGAAACCGGAGCUAAUACCGGAUAAUAUUUUGAACCGCAUGGUUCAAAAGUGAAAGACGGUCUUGCUGUCACUUAUAGAUGGAUCCGCGCUGCAUUAGCUAGUUGGUAAGGUAACGGCUUACCAAGGCAACGAUGCAUAGCCGACCUGAGAGGGGGAUCGCCCACACUGGACCUGAGACCCGGUCCAGCCUCCACGGGGAGGCAGCGUUGGGAAUUCUCCCGCAAGGGGCGAAAGCCUAACGGAGCAACGCCGCGUGAGGAAGAAGGGUUUCCGAUUCGUAAACCCCUUUUAUAGGGAAAAAACAAAGUGGUAGGAAACGAUGCCCGUCUGAAGGUUACUAAACCAGAAGCCCCCGCUAACUUCCGU